RNAcentral lists this ribosomal RNA (2922 nucleotides) under Lactiplantibacillus plantarum. RNAcentral describes it as "Lactobacillus plantarum 23S ribosomal RNA". It matches the Rfam family "Bacterial large subunit ribosomal RNA". The record is from RNAcentral. Lineage: Bacteria; Bacillati; Bacillota; Bacilli; Lactobacillales; Lactobacillaceae.
AGGUUAAGUUAACAAGGGCGCAUGGUGAAUGCCUUGGCACUAGGAGCCGAUGAAGGACGGGACUAACACCGAUAUGCUUCGGGGAGCUGUACGUAAGCUAUGAUCCGGAGAUUUCCGAAUGGGGCAACCCAGCAGUUUUAAUCAACUGUUACCACUAGAUGAAUUCAUAGUCUAGUUGGAGGUAAACGCUGUGAACUGAAACAUCUCAUUAGCAGCAGGAAUAUAAAGAAAUUUCGAUUCCCUAAGUAGCGGCGAGCGAACGGGGAACAGCCCAAACCAAAGUGCUUGCACUUUGGGGUUGUAGGACUGAACAUUUGAGUUACCAAAGAACUUGAUAGUCGAAGGAUUUGGGAAAAUCCGCCAUAGAUGGUGAUAGCCCAGUAGAUUAAAUCAAAUUCUCUCAGUUCAGGAUCCUGAGUACGGCGGAACACGUGAAAUUCCGUCGGAAUCCGGGAGGACCAUCUCCCAAGGCUAAAUACUACCUAGUGACCGAUAGUGAACCAGUACCGUGAGGGAAAGGUGAAAAGCACCCCGGGAGGGGAGUGAAAUAGUUCCUGAAACCAUGUGCCUACAAUAAGUCAGAGCGCGUUAAUGCGUGAUGGCGUGCCUUUUGUAGAAUGAACCGGCGAGUUAUGAUCCCGUGCAAGGUUAAGACUAAAAAGUCGGAGCCGUAGCGAAAGCGAGUCUGAAAUGGGCGUUUUGAGUACGAGGUUAUAGACCCGAAACCAGGUGACCUAUCCAUGUCCAGGUUGAAGGUGCGGUAAAACGCACUGGAGGACCGAACCCGUGUAAGUUGAAAAUUGCUGGGAUGAGGUGUGGAUAGCGGUGAAAUUCCAAACGAACUUGGAGAUAGCUGGUUCUCUCCGAAAUAGCUUUAGGGCUAGCCUCGGAAUUAGGAUCAUGGAGGUAGAGCACUAUUUGGACUAGGGGCCCGUCUUGGGUUACUGAAUUCAGAUAAACUCCGAAUGCCAUUGAUUCAUAUCCGGGAGUCAGACGAUGAGUGAUAAGAUCCACCGUCGAAAGGGGAACAGCCCAGACCAUCAGUUAAGGUCCCUAAAUGUAUGCUAAGUGGAAAAGGAUGUGGAGUUGCAUAGACAACUAGGAUGUUGGCUCAGAAGCAGCCACCAUUUAAAGAGUGCGUAAUAGCUCACUAGUCGAGUGAUCCUGCGCCGAAAAUGUACCGGGGCUAAGCAUACUACCGAAACCAUGGAUGCGACCAUUAGGUCGCGUAUUAGAAAGCGUUCAAAGGGCGGUGAAGCAAGAUCGUGAGGACUUGUGGAGCGCUUAGAAGUGAGAAUGCCGGUAUGAGUAGCGAAAGAUAGGUGAGAAUCCUAUCCACCGAAUGACUAAGGUUUCCUGGGGAAGGCUCGUCCUCCCAGGGUUAGUCGGGACCUAAGUCGAGGCCGAGAGGCGUAGACGAUGGAUAACAGGUUGAGAUUCCUGUACUAGUUAAGUGCGUUUGAGCAAUGGAGGGACGCAGGAGGCUAAGAUGUGCAUUCUGUUGGAUUAGAAUGUCCAAGCAGUAAGUCUUGUGAAGAGUCAAAUGCUUUUCACUUUAAGGACAAGCUGUGAUGGGGAGCGAAAUUUAGUAGCGAAGCGUCUGAUGUCACACUGCCGAGAAAAGCUUCUAGUGAGUACUUAACUACCCGUACCGCAAACCGACACAGGUAGUCGAGGAGAGAAUCCUAAGGUGAGCGAGUGAACUCUCGUUAAGGAACUCGGCAAAAUGACCCCGUAACUUCGGGAGAAGGGGUGCUGAUCGCAAGAUCAGCCGCAGUGAAUAGGCCCAGGCGACUGUUUAUCAAAAACACAGGUCUCUGCAAAAUCGUAAGAUGACGUAUAGGGGCUGACGCCUGCCCGGUGCUGGAAGGUUAAAAGGAUGGGUUAGCUUCGGCGAAGCUCAGAAUUGAAGCCCCAGUAAACGGCGGCCGUAACUAUAACGGUCCUAAGGUAGCGAAAUUCCUUGUCGGGUAAGUUCCGACCCGCACGAAAGGCGUAACGAUCUGGGCACUGUCUCAACGAGAGACUCGGUGAAAUUAUAUUGUCCGUGAAGAUGCGGACUACCCGCGACAGGACGGAAAGACCCCAUGGAGCUUUACUGUAGCUUGAUAUUGAGUGUUUGUACAGCUUGUACAGGAUAGGUAGGAGCCAUAGAAACCGGAACGCUAGUUUCGGUGGAGGCGUUGGUGGGAUACUACCCUCGCUGUAUGACCACUCUAACCCGCACCACUAAUCGUGGUGGGAGACAGUGUCAGGUGGGCAGUUUGACUGGGGCGGUCGCCUCCUAAAAAGUAACGGAGGCGCCCAAAGGUUCCCUCAGAAUGGUUGGAAAUCAUUCGCAGAGUGUAAAGGCACAAGGGAGCUUGACUGCGAGACAGACAGGUCGAGCAGGGACGAAAGUCGGGCUUAGUGAUCCGGUGGUACCGUAUGGAAGGGCCAUCGCUCAACGGAUAAAAGCUACCCUGGGGAUAACAGGCUUAUCUCCCCCAAGAGUCCACAUCGACGGGGAGGUUUGGCACCUCGAUGUCGGCUCAUCGCAUCCUGGGGCUGUAGUCGGUCCCAAGGGUUGGGCUGUUCGCCCAUUAAAGCGGUACGCGAGCUGGGUUCAGAACGUCGUGAGACAGUUCGGUCCCUAUCCGUCGCGGGCGUAGGAAAUUUGAGAGGACCUGUCCUUAGUACGAGAGGACCGGGAUGGACAUACCUCUGGUGUACCAGUUGUGCCGCCAGGCGCAUCGCUGGGUAGCUACGUAUGGAUGUGAUAAACGCUGAAAGCAUCUAAGUGUGAAACACACCUCGAGAUGAGAUUUCCCAUUCCUUUAUGGAAGUAAGACCCCUGAAAGAUGAUCAGGUAGAUAGGUUAGAAGUGGCAGUGCGGUGACGCAUGAAGCGGACUAAUACUAAUCGGUCGAGGACUUAACCAAG